RNAcentral lists this unclassified non-coding RNA (308 nucleotides) under Hevea brasiliensis (rubber tree). Lineage: Eukaryota; Viridiplantae; Streptophyta; Magnoliopsida; Malpighiales; Euphorbiaceae. The record is from RNAcentral.
CACCGAGAAAGAACCCGACCCGAUUUGCCGACCUACCAGGUAAUCCCCAACAGUUCUACCCCUCCCCGACGCUUGAGCCAUAAUUGAGAAGAAACCUGUAAAACCCUAGGAUCCGAACCCGAAACCAGCUGAAUUCAAGGCUGAAGACGAGCUGUGUUGGUUAAAAACUAAGAAAUGGAUUGUUUUUGAAGAUUCGACCCAAGUUCGAAGGAUCGGAUUGGCCUAAAUGAGAUAAAAUUACGAUAGAAGGAGGGAAGCAGAGGCGGAUUACACAAGCUUUAUGAUCAUAUAAUAAUUUACAUUUAAAC